Molecule: ribosomal RNA, 255 nt
Filed under: uncultured bacterium
Lineage: Bacteria
Description: partial 16S ribosomal RNA
Rfam family: Bacterial small subunit ribosomal RNA
Source: RNAcentral
UACGUAGGACCCAAGCGUUAUCCGGAAUUACUGGGCGUAAAGAGUUGCGUAGGUGGCAAUGUAAGUAGAUAGUGAAAUCGUGUGGCUCAACCAUACAAACAUUAUCUAAACUGCAUAGCUUAGAGUGUAGGAGAGGUACCUGGAAUUUCUAGUGUAGGAGUGAAAUCCGUAGAUAUUAGAAGGAACACCGAUGGCGUAAGCAGGGUACUGGCCUAUUACUGACACUAAGGCACGAAAGCGUGGGGAGCGAACGGG